Molecule: long non-coding RNA, 312 nt
Organism: Suricata suricatta (meerkat)
Lineage: Eukaryota; Metazoa; Chordata; Mammalia; Carnivora; Herpestidae
Exons: 2
Source: RefSeq, a predicted model, not a curated record
AAGUGAGAAUUGAGGUGCCAGUGAUUUAAAUGCACAGCUCGAACACAUAGAACGUAUUCCAAUCUAACUGACCUGUCCAGAGGAGACCAAGGUGUAAUUAGAAAAGGACAUGAUUUAAAAAUAAAGAUGUGGCAACAGGAGCUCUAAUAGUCACCUUGACCUUGAGGAGAAUGGACAGACCUAAGAAAUAGCAGAGAAGACUAUGGGCAUGGUCCCUGACCACCUUCUGGGAACAUGAUUCCAUUCCUACCUCGCAUUACCAACCUCCAGACUUCAAAAUUUGUGAAUUGAAAAUAAAAUUCAUAUUUUGGA